GACGAACGCUGGCGGCGUGCUUAACACAUGCAAGUCGAACGGAAAGGCCCUGCUUUUGUGGGGUGCUCGAGUGGCGAACGGGUGAGUAAUACGUGAGUAACCUGCCCUUGACUUUGGGAUAACUUCAGGAAACUGGGGCUAAUACCGGAUAGGAGCUCCUGCUGCAUGGUGGGGGUUGGAAAGUUUCGGCGGUUGGGGAUGGACUCGCGGCUUAUCAGCUUGUUGGUGGGGUAGUGGCUUACCAAGCCUUUGACGGGUAGCCGGCCUGGGAGGGGGACCGGCCUCCAUGGGACUGAGAUACGGCCCAGACUCCUACGGGAGGCAACAGGGGGGAAUAUUGCGCAGUGAGCGGAAGCCUGAUACAACAACCCCGCGUUCGGAAUGACGGCCUUCCAGUUAUGAACCGCUUUCGCCUGUGACGAAGCGUGAGUGACGGUAAUGGGUAAGAAAGCACCGGCUAACUACGUG
RNAcentral lists this ribosomal RNA (468 nucleotides) under uncultured bacterium. Its description in RNAcentral is "partial 16S ribosomal RNA". It matches the Rfam family "Bacterial small subunit ribosomal RNA", at positions 28 to 507 of the family's 1533-position model. The record is from RNAcentral.